Molecule: ribosomal RNA, 461 nt
Filed under: uncultured bacterium
Lineage: Bacteria
Description: bacterial SSU rRNA
Rfam family: Bacterial small subunit ribosomal RNA
Source: RNAcentral
ACUCCUACGGGAGGCAGCAGUAGGGAAUCUUCCACAAUGGGCGCAAGCCUGAUGGAGCAACACCGCGUGAGUGAAGAAGGGUUUCGGCUCGUAAAGCUCUGUUGUUAAAGAAGAACACGUAUGAGAGUAACUGUUCAUACGUUGACGGUAUUUAACCAGAAAGUCACGGCUAACUACGUGCCAGCAGCCGCGGUAAUACGUAGGUGGCAAGCGUUAUCCGGAUUUAUUGGGCGUAAAGAGAGUGCAGGCGGUUUUCUAAGUCUGAUGUGAAAGCCUUCGGCUUAACCGGAGAAGUGCAUCGGAAACUGGAUAACUUGAGUGCAGAAGAGGGUAGUGGAACUCCAUGUGUAGCGGUGGAAUGCGUAGAUAUAUGGAAGAACACCAGUGGCGAAGGCGGCUACCUGGUCUGCAACUGACGCUGAGACUCGAAAGCAUGGGUAGCGAACAGGAUUAGAUACCCC